UCCUCUUUACAGAGGCAGUUUCGUUCGAGUCCCCGACUUUACUCGCUGGUAACAAACGAUGAGGGUUGCGCUCGUUGCGGGACUUAACCCAACAUUUCACAACACGAGCUGACGACAGCCAUGCACCACCUGUGUAUCACCUUCGAAAGCGAUCGCUUUUCGGCGACUUGCAGAUACAUGUCAAGCCCUGGUAAGGUUCUUCGCGUUGCAUCGAAUUAAGCCACAUGCUCCACCGCUUGUGCGGUCCCCCGCCAAUUCCUUUGAGUUUCAACCUUGCGGCCGUAGUCCCCAGGCGGUUCACUUAAUGCGUUAGCUGCGGCACCGAGGGUUACCCCCCAACACCUAGUGAACAUCGUUUAAGGCCAAGACUAC
Molecule: unclassified non-coding RNA, 372 nt
Filed under: uncultured bacterium
Lineage: Bacteria
Description: contains 16S-23S intergenic spacer region
Source: RNAcentral